RNAcentral lists this ribosomal RNA (253 nucleotides) under uncultured bacterium. RNAcentral describes it as "partial 16S ribosomal RNA". It matches the Rfam family "Bacterial small subunit ribosomal RNA", at positions 524 to 776 of the family's 1533-position model. The record is from RNAcentral.
UACGUAGGUGGCAAGCGUUGUUCGGAUUUACUGGGUGUAAAGGGCGCGUAGGCGGGAGAGCAAGUCAGAUGUGAAAUUUCCGGGCUUAACCCCGGCGCUGCAUCUGAAACUGGUAUUCUUGAGUGUCGGAGAGGGAAGUGGAAUUCCUAGUGUAGCGGUGAAAUGCGUAGAGAUUGGGAGGAACACCUGUGGUGUAGGCGGCGUUCUGGACGAUUACUGACGCUGAGGCGCGAAAGCGUGGGGAGCAAACAGG